AUUGAACGCUGGCGGCAGGCCUAACACAUGCAAGUCGAGCGGAUGAAGCCAGCUUGCUCCUGGAUUCAGCGGCGCACGGGUGUGUAAUGCCUAGGAAUCUCCCUGGUAUUGGUUGAUAACGUCCUCAAACGGGCGCUACUACCGCCUACGUCCUGCGGCAGCUACUUGGGGAUCUUCGGACCUCACGCUCUCAUAUGAGCCUAGGUCGGAUUAGCUAGUUGGUUGGGUAAAGACCUACCUAGCCGACGAUUCGUAGCUGGUCUGAGAGAAUGAUAAGUCACACUAGAGCGGAAACACGGUCCAGAGUACUAAGGGAGGCAGCAGUGGGGAAUAGUAGACAGUAGGCGAAAGCAUGAUACAGUCAGGCGGCGUGUGUGAAGAAGGUCUUGGGAUUGUAAAGCACGUUAAGUGGGGAGGAAGGGCAGUAAGUUAAUACCUAGCUGGUGUGACGUUACCAAGAGAAUAAGCACCGGCUAACUACGUG
This 484-nucleotide ribosomal RNA is filed under the name uncultured bacterium. RNAcentral describes it as "partial 16S ribosomal RNA". It matches the Rfam family "Bacterial small subunit ribosomal RNA", at positions 30 to 507 of the family's 1533-position model. The record is from RNAcentral.